UUUUCCGUGCCAACUCAUUCAAUAUGGCGGGCGGCAAGAAACUCACAAAAGAAGACGAAAUUUUGCUGCAAAAUUUCAGCAGAACCGUUUCAACUAAAUCUUCAGCAUUAUUCUAUGCCAAUGCAUUCUUCGUCUCAGCCAUUCCUCUCUGGUUGUUUUGGAGGAUUCACCAAAUGGAUCCUUAUUCAUCUGGCAUCAUGUUCGUCGUUAUGACUCUCGCCAGUACGUGGCUAGUGGCUUUUGCCUACAAGAACGUGAAGUUUCAGUUGAAACAUAAGAUUGCCCAACGAAGAGAUGCCUCAGUUACCAAAGAAGUCAGCAUGGAGCUGGAUUCUAAUAAGAAGCUGACCCGCCAAGAAAAGGAUGAAAGAAUCCUUUGGAAAAAGAACAAGGUUGCUGAAACUGAAGCCAUUACCUUCUCCAUAUUUUACAACAAUGCCUUGUACCUGUUUUUGGUCCUGAUAGCUUCAUUUUAUGUUCUGCGGACAUUUAAUCCUGCUGCAAACUACCUACUCUCCACAUCCAUAGCUGGUGGUGUCCUUGCUCUGCUGUCUACUGGAUCAUCCUCCUAAGAAACAGAUGGAUUAUUGUGGCUCAGCUGAUUUCCAUUUAUUAAUUUGAAUAAAUGUUUAGUUACCCCAAG
Molecule: non-coding RNA, 643 nt
Organism: Pocillopora verrucosa
Lineage: Eukaryota; Metazoa; Cnidaria; Anthozoa; Scleractinia; Pocilloporidae
Source: RefSeq, a predicted model, not a curated record